GUGGGGAAUAUUGCACAAUGGGCGCAAGCCUGAUGCAGCAACGCCGCGUGAGGGAUGACGGCCUUCGGGUUGUAAACCUCUUUUAGUAGGGAAGAAGCGUAAGUGACGGUACCUGCAGAAAAAGCACCGGCUAACUACGUGCCAGCAGCCGCGGUAAUACGUAGGGUGCAAGCGUUGUCCGGAAUUAUUGGGCGUAAAGAGCUCGUAGGCGGCUUGUCGCGUCUGCUGUGAAAACCCGAGGCUCAACCUCGGGCUUGCAGUGGGUACGGGCAGGCUAGAGUGCGGUAGGGGAGAUUGGAAUUCCUGGUGUAGCGGUGGAAUGCGCAGAUAUCAGGAGGAACACCGAUGGCGAAGGCAGAUCUCUGAGCCGUAACUGACGCUGAGGAGCGAAAGCAUGGGGAGCGAACAGGAUUAGAAACCCUGGUAGUCC
RNAcentral lists this ribosomal RNA (430 nucleotides) under uncultured bacterium. Its description in RNAcentral is "partial 16S ribosomal RNA". It matches the Rfam family "Bacterial small subunit ribosomal RNA", at positions 354 to 796 of the family's 1533-position model. The record is from RNAcentral.